AUGGAGUUCUUGCUGCAGCCGUUCAACAGAACGACUCUGAUUGAGGAAGUGAAUGACAGCGAGAUACCGACGGGGCCAACGCGAUGUCCUGUUGUUCCGGUGCCGGCGUUGUCCUUGCCGGCGGCGAGUGCAUCCAGCGCAGAUGCGCUAAUCUGCUCGCCGCCUCAUGGAGCAGCAAAGGAUGGGCGUGAGAGGCCGCAGGGAUCUGAGAACUCGAUAGAGCAAGUUGAUCCACAGGCUCCGGGAUGGACUAGAAGGGUCAGGGUUGGGGCUGCAGCGCCGGGGCGUGCUCCCUGCCCGGAUAGGAUGACAGCCCUGGAGAAAUCGGUCAGAGUUUUUGCUGAAACUCCUGGUGAUAAUAAACGACGGCCGGCGUUGACUCCAGAGCGAGCGAUCCAGGUAUACACCCGAUCGCCGCACUGUGGACAAGGGACCAGGGGCAAAAUCUCAUCCUGGGGUGCCGAUGAUGAUGAUGCAGACAUGCUUGAGGGCGAGGAAUGUCGUCUGACGGCGAACACAAUUUCAUUAUGUGCAAAUACUGCGAAGACCAGCGCGGCCUGUGCGGCAAAUUUUUUCUAG
This 579-nucleotide ribosomal RNA is filed under the name Triticum aestivum (bread wheat). RNAcentral describes it as "partial small subunit ribosomal RNA". The record is from RNAcentral. Lineage: Eukaryota; Viridiplantae; Streptophyta; Magnoliopsida; Poales; Poaceae.